Molecule: microRNA precursor, 92 nt
Filed under: Podarcis lilfordi (Lilford's wall lizard)
Lineage: Eukaryota; Metazoa; Chordata; Lepidosauria; Squamata; Lacertidae
Source: RNAcentral
UACUUAGGCAAGUAAUGUGUGUGUGUGUGUGUGUGUGUGUGUGUACACACACACACACACACACACACACACACACACGACAUUUUUAUGUA